GUAGUAGUAAUAAAUAAUAAUAAUAAUAAUAAUAAUAAUAAUAAUAAAUAAUAAUAAUAAAUAAUAAUAAUAAUAAUAAUAAUAAAUAAUAAAUAAUAAUAAUAAUAAUAAUAAUAAUAAUAAUAAUAAGAUAGUAAUAAUAAAAAUAACGAUGAUGACUUUAAUGAUGAUGAUGGCGAUGAUAAUGAUGAUGAUGAUGAUUUGGUCCUACUGGCCUUUAGGCAAUCCGUCUGUCUGUCCGUCCGUCCAACUUGUACCUGCGUCUGGUUUUCUCCUCUGCAUCCUCUCAUACACAUAUAUAUAUAUAUAUAUAUAUAUAUAUAUCUAAAUAUAAGCAGCCUCCGCAUCACAUUGGCAGCUGGUAGGUGCCUGGGAAUUCUUGAUUCUUUAUCUCCCCAAUUAUACAAUCCUCAUUCUAAUUGGUCGAGCCUAUAGUGAGUGGCGCUACCCUUGCAUCAUUCCUUUAAAAAAAAAAAAUUGAGAAGAAAAAAAAAAUACAGACCGCGCCGCCACUCUCCUUUCCUUCAAUUUCACGCGUUUCAUCGAUUUUUCCCCCUCACCCACACACCCACUCACACACACACACACAAAUAUACAUACACACAUUUUUUUUCCCUAUAGAAAGAUUUGGAAAGUGUUUUUUUUUUUCUAAAUUUGUAAAUUUUUUUUUUUUUUUUUUUUUUUUUUUUUUUUACAUAAAUAGGAAAAAAAAAUUGUUUUUUAUUUUCCUAAGGAAAAAAGUUUAAUUAAAUUAAUUUUUUAAUGUGAGAAUUUUUUUUUUUUCUUUUUCAACCCUUUUGAAAUAAGGCCAACAAUAUUCAAAUCUAAUUUUUAUUUAACAAUUAAUUUUUUACAAAAAUUCGAAUAUAAUUUUGAGGUUAGAUUUCACUUAUUGAGGUAUUAUUAUUACGCCAUUUUAACAUAAAAUGUUGAAACUUUGGAAAAAAAAAAUUAUUUUCUCCUUCAAAAUAAAUCCACUGUUAAAAUAUUAAAGAUUAAUUUUAUUUUGCAAAGAACAUUCAAGGUGUGAAAUUGAGGUUAUGUUGUGCUAUAGAAGCGCCACUUGGCGACAAAAUAGUGUAACUUUAUGUAAAAUUAUUUUCUCCCUUCAAGAAGAAUCUAUAGUUUAAAUUUCAUGCAAUAAUAAUUCCAAUUUUAACAAUAAUUUUAUAAGCUAACAAAAUGUUCGAAAUGAGGUUAAUUUUCGUUUAAUAGACAUUUAAAUAGCGCCAUCUGGAUAUAAAAUCCUGAAACUUUAGAUAUACAUUUGUUCCCUCGAGACGAAUCCACAGUUUAAAUUUGAAGUUUAAAUUUCUUUUUGAAGCGACUUUACAAGAUAAUAAAUAAUCGAGGUGAAAAAUUGAGGUUAGGUUUAAUUAAAAAACGCAUUAAACAAUAAUAAUAAUUAAAAUAUAGUAACAUAAUAUUAAAAAUAAUAAUAAAAAUAUUAAUAAAAAUAGUAAUUAUAAUACAAUUAAUAAUAAUACUAAUAAUAAUAAUAAUAAUAAUAAUAAUUAAUAAUAAUAAAAUAUAAUUCCCAAUUUCUCCCUCGAGAAGAAUCUAUUGUUCAAAUUUCAAGCUUUAAUUCCAAGUUACAGCGAUACUAUAGGCUAACAAACAUUUGAGGUGAGUGAAAUGAGGUUAGGUUUCUUUAAAAACGCAUUUAAGCAACGCCACCUGGAUAUAAAUCCCUGAAACUUUACACACACACACACAUUUUCUCACUCGAGAAGAACGCAUAUAGUCUAAAUUUAAAGCUUUAAUUCCAUUUUCAAGCGAUUUUACAAGCUACUAAAAAUUUGAGGUGAGAAAGUGAGGUUAAUUUGCGUUCAAAAAAAAAAAAAAUGCAUUUAAAUAGCGCCACCUGGAUAAAAAAAAAUUCUGAAAUUUUACACACAUAUUUUCUCACUCGAGAAGAAUCUAUUGUCCAAAUUUCAAGUCUUAAUUUCAAUUUGCAGCGUUUCUAUAGGCUAACAAACAUUCGAAGUGAGAGAAGUGAGGUUAGAUUUCAUUGAAAAUGGAAUUAAAUAAUAAUAAUUGAAAUAUAGUAACCUAAUAUUAAAAAUAAUAAUAAAAAUAGUAAUAAUAAUAAUAAUAAUAAUAAUAAUAAUAAUAAUAAUAAUAAUAAUAAUGAUAAUAAUUUUUUUUCUGAUUAAUUAUUAAUAAAUGAAUGUAAUAUAAGGCCCCUAACCUCAAAUACACUACACACGCGACACAUUGAUUUCUAUCUCGACUUUCACGGUUGGCCCAAGAAAAAAAAAAAAUAUAUAUAUAUAUAUAUCUUGUCUCUCUGACAAAAUACAAAAAAAAAAAAAAACAUCACAGCAUCUCGCGACAAAGAUCUCUAUUGAAUCUUUUAUCUUCUGUAUGCGACCCUUUUUUAUCCAACAUUUUUCCAAGUAGCACGUGGGGAACCCGUGUACGCGAUGAAAAAUAAUGGAGGGGGCCUGAUUUGUUAAUACCUAUAUAUAUAUAUAGGGGUGGGGGAAGGGGAAAUAGAAUAGGGCCGCAAAAAUGAAUUGGUGAAGGGGUGGGGGGGAGAAAUCUCGAAUCGGCCUUGUACCCCAACGUGUGUCCUCCACCCGAUGUUCAACGAGCCGCAUAAAACCUGUGUGUAAAAGAGAGCGGAAAAAAUGUUUAUAUAUAUAUAUAUAUAUAUAUAUAUCCGCGGACUGCAUAAACGCGUUUACGAGAUCACUGUCGUUUUAGUUGAGAAACAGAGUCAAAGAGUAAAGAAAAAAAAAAAAAAAAAAAAAAAA
Long non-coding RNA from Leptopilina boulardi, 2759 nucleotides. RefSeq lists it as uncharacterized. The transcript is spliced from 2 exons. NCBI's taxonomy places the organism in Eukaryota, Metazoa, Arthropoda, Insecta, Hymenoptera, Figitidae. The record is from RefSeq and is a predicted model, not a curated record.